UGCCAGCCGCCGCGGUAAUACGAAGGGGGCUAGCGUUGCUCGGAAUUACUGGGCGUAAAGCGCGCGCAGGUGGCCUGUUAAGUUGGGGGUGAAAGCCCGGAGCUCAACUCCGGAACGGCCUUCAAAACUGGCAAGCUAGAGUCCGGAAGAGGAGAGUGGAAUUCCCAGUGUAGAGGUGAAAUUCGUAGAUAUUGGGAAGAACACCAGUGGCGAAGGCGGCUCUCUGGUCCGGUACUGGCGCUGAGACGCGAAAGCGUGGGGAGCAAACAGGAUUAGAUA
This 279-nucleotide ribosomal RNA is filed under the name uncultured bacterium. RNAcentral's name for it is "partial 16S ribosomal RNA". It matches the Rfam family "Bacterial small subunit ribosomal RNA", at positions 506 to 784 of the family's 1533-position model. The record is from RNAcentral.